AUGAUUUCAAGGAGCCAAGGUUUCAAGCGGUUUGCUAGUACCUUUGGAAUAAUUUUGUAAUUGAUAUUGUGCUGGCUUAUGGGUCUACACUAGCUCAUGUCUUCUGGGUUCGGAACUUUGGGGGUCGGGGUAAUGAGAGUUUUGCUAAGCUCUGGCUCAAGCGUUCCUGAAUCAACAAAAAAUCUUAGACCAUUUGCAAAAUAUCAUACUGGAUAAGCUCCCAAUGAUGCUGGUAAAACUGGCCGUUGAGUCCGUCAGGUCCAAGGGCUUUUGUUGGGGCUAUUUGAAAGACAAUGUUUCUUACCUUCUCCAUCGUUAUCGGUUCCAGGAAGGCGUCGUUCGUAUUCUCCUGAAUUAUAUAUGGGCAUUGGUCCAGGACAAGUUGAAAGUUUCUUGGUCCCAUGGUAGUAUAGAGGGAGUAGUAAAACUCAGUAAUAUAAUUUUUCAGUUUCUCCUCAUCUCGGAGCCAAGUAGACUCCUCAACUUUCAGCAUGGAGAUUUUGUUACGGUGCCUCCUUUGCAUCGUUGCGGCAUGAAAUUUUUUUGUGUUUCUAUUUCCCCAUUUUAGCCAUUUACGCGAGAUCUUAAUCCCUAAUACAUCUCUUCCUACCUCCAUAGUUUUUCAAUUUUCCCCUUAGCAGCUUGAAUAUCCUCUUUAGUGGAUCCUCCCAUGCUCCUAUUUGUGAGUUCCACUAGCUGUUCCUUGAGAGCUUCGAUUUGGUGGUACGCAUUGGAAAACUUCCAACGGCUCCAUGUAGACAAGGCCUUUGUAACCUUUCUCAGUUUGUUCACAAUAACCCCUCGUUUGAUCUUUGGGUCUUGCUAGGCUUUAGAGACUAUCUUGUCGUAUUACGUAUUCCACCCAGUAAGCUUCAAAUUUAAACUCUUUUUUUCGUGCUUCAUGGUUAGGGUAGAGCAAAAGACGAAUAGGACAAUGACGGGGCGAAUAGGAAGUAAUGCAAAGGCUUCCGUGUUUGGGAAAGACACUCUCCAAUCUAAACUGCUUAUUACUCAGUCAAGCCUUUCUUUAACCAACUCGUCCCCCACUCUAUUGUUAGACCAAGUAAACACACAUCUCUUGCUUUCUAUAUCCAUAAGUGAACAGUCAUACGUAAGAUCUUGGAAAGCUACUAGCCUGUAGUUGUUCGCAUCUCUCUCUCCCCACUUUCUCCCAAUUACAUAAAAUUUCGUUAAAAUUGCCCAUGCAAACCCAAGGGAGAUGAUGGAGUAGUGAAUGGCUCUCAUUUUUUGCCAUAGCUGCAAUCUCUCCUGAAAAUUAGUAGAAGCAUGUAGGAAAGUUAUUCUCAUAGUAGUCCCGCUUCUCGGUCUUUGCAUAUAACAUUAAUAAACUCAGCCGAACUAGCUACCACAUUUGGGGAAAGGUCAUCAUUCCAUAACAGUGCUAAGCCCCUAGCAAUGCCCAUGGAUCCAUAACCUAAAGAUGCUAGAACUGGAAUCAACUAUGAAUACGGUCCACCAUCACCUCUUUAUUUUUUGUUUCCAUCAAAACCACCAUAGUGAGCUUUUCUUGAGCCGCAAUGGUUCUUAGUGACUGGAAUGUCAGGGGAGUGCCCAACCCCCGGCAAGUCUAGCUCAAAAGCUUCAUUUAAUCCCUGAUGGCUUAUUAGGAUUAGCCACCACAGCCCAUUCAUGCCCGUCUUUAGCCAUAUGAACGUGAGUAACUAGUUUUAAAGACUUUUCUAGAGAAUUCAAGCUUGUUCCUCCCAUCUCAUAAGGGUUAUGUCUCCUCGGUUUCUUUGUAGGCAGGAUUUUUUUCCCCGCUUUUCCUUUCUUUUGUAGCCCGCAUUCUAAUUCCAUGCCAGUCGCUCUUCCGAGGGAAUCCAGUAAAAGUAGCUGAGUUUGCUUCCCCAAGUGGGGAAUGAGCUCCAAGGUGGAGCCAAACCAAAGGCACUCCCUAGGGGAAUAUCCGCACUGCAUUUUCUUUUUGUUGCGAUUUCUUUUGGAGGGUAGUCAUGAAGUGGGGUUUCAAAUAUCAUUUCCUCUUCCUCCAUGAUAGGAAGCUGGUCCCCAUAAAACAACUCCCAAUACGAGCUAUGUUCACUAACUUCUGCCUUUAGCCAUUGCCCGAAUUUGCCUUAAAAUGUUUUCCAUGAGCUAUUUUGCAGUAAGUAGCAUAAUGACCUCCGCAAGAAUAGCAAAAGUGAGGUAGACGUUUUGAAGUCCAUCCAAAUCCUUUUUCCCCCACAUUGAUGAAUGUUUCUGACUUCAAGGGGGCAGCCAACUCUAUUUCCACCCGUGCUUUCCCCGAAAUAAUAUACCUAUUUGCUUUCUUAUCCAGCCUAACCCCCUGCACAGCCCCCACUUUCGAUGCCAAACUAUUUAUGACGUCUACUGUUGCUCUUUCCUCAGGGAUCCCGAGGGCUUGGACCCAAAAGGUACAAUAGGAAAAAUCAUAGCAAUGCAUCUGGGUGUCAGAUUUCCAUUGUUUGAGGACUAACAAGUUGCUGGAAAAGGACCAUGGUGCCUCCUCCAAUACCCUCUUUUUCUCUGCUUGUGUGUUAAAGAUGAAAGAGAAGAGGCCCGGCUUGAUUUGGGCAUAGGCUACUGUUUCAGUUUUCCACGCCCUCUUCAUUGGGCCUUGGAAGGCUUGGAAAUUGACAUUGGGCUUUGAAUAGAGUUUUCCAUACAAGCAGGGGGUAUGAAACAAGCAGUUAGCUCUUCGUGCCCUAUUACCCGAGCUCCUUGAGACUCAUACAGGUGCAACAGAUUAACUAAAGCAACUGGGUCGAGCAACACAUCCCAUGAGGCUUUGAGCUGUUUGCUGUGAUGUUGGGUGAGGAAAAAUCGGGAAGAAGCAUAACCUCAAGGCUGGGCGGCAACAAUUUUCUUUGAGAUUUGGCAAAUCGAGCUGAUACUCCUUCGUUUGCCUCAAUCGGAGGACCUAAGGAUUGGACAAGCUGGAUGUGUAUUUGGAGGAUAAGGAUGAAUCCGAGGAGGCAGUGAAAGGAGCUCCAGGCUAGAUUUUGGUGGCAACUGUGGUGAGAAUGCGAUUAAGAAUUAGGGUUUUGGGUACGUAGUGUUGGGGCGAGGAAGGAUAUGAUGUAUAGGUUUUACAUUGUGGAGGUAAAGGAUCAAAGUAGGCAGGUUGGGACUUUUAUGGGGUGAGGGUUUUGGAGAAAAGGGGUUUUAGGGCAAACUAUCUCCAUGGAUAGAGAGAAAGCUCUUCAGAGGAAGAGAGAAUUCUAUCAACGAGAUCUCCAAACCUAUAUUGAAUAGUACAA
Molecule: long non-coding RNA, 3242 nt
Organism: Syzygium oleosum
Lineage: Eukaryota; Viridiplantae; Streptophyta; Magnoliopsida; Myrtales; Myrtaceae
Exons: 2
Source: RefSeq, a predicted model, not a curated record